UACGGAGGUUGCAAGCGUUAUCCGGAUUUACUGGGUUUAAAGGGUGCGCAGGCGGAUCUGUAAGUCAGUGGUGAAAGCUCCGGGCUCAACCCGGAAACUGCCAUUGAUACUGCAGAUCUUGAGUAUAGUUGAGGUGGGCGGAAUAAGUCAUGUAGCGGUGAAAUGCUUAGAUAUGACUUAGAACACCGAUUGCGAAGGCAGCUCACUAAGCUAUUACUGACGCUCAGGCACGAAAGCGUGGGUAGCGAACAGG
This 253-nucleotide ribosomal RNA is filed under the name uncultured bacterium. RNAcentral's name for it is "partial 16S ribosomal RNA". It matches the Rfam family "Bacterial small subunit ribosomal RNA", at positions 524 to 776 of the family's 1533-position model. The record is from RNAcentral.